UCGUUGUCGCUACUGGGUUCUUCGUCAGCGCUGCUGCAGACGAGAAGAGAAAGAGAGAAUGCCAGCGCGAGAGAAGAGGAGGAGGGGCGCUGUCUCGCGCCGUCACUGUCACGCCUUGUUGUCGCAGCUAUGGAGACCGCCACCGUUGUUGGAAUCGCGAACUGAGGAGAAAGGGAGAGCGACGCUGAGAGAGAUUGACUUAAGCCAGUGAAGCGCGUGAGGGAAGGGGAGCCGAAUACCGUCACUGCCACCGCACCCAGUCGUCACCGGUGGAGCUCGCCGUCCCUGGAGGUGAAUCGGUGUCGCGUCCUUGCUGCCAAUAGUAGGGUUUGAAUGUGGAGUUUGAAUCCAAGAACAAGAAGCUCAGUGAGGAUCUUGCUGCUGCUAAAGCUAAGAUGGUAGUAGCUGUUGGUACCAGUGGCAAGAGGCAAUUGGGGAACGCCAGAGCCCCAAAUUCAAAGACAUACAAAAACUCAUUGCUGAGAAAGAAAGUCUCCACCAAACCAGUGCUUGCCACCAUCAAUGCCGUCAGCCUUUGGCAAAGAGCCCAAACCCCCCCCACCACAACACACACACACACACUUGUUGAAUUAUGUCACUCCUUAAAGAAUCAUGAUAUGAAGAGAGACGUAAAAGGGCCUCUGAAUCAUCUGCAACCGGUAGCGAUUAUUUGCACACAGUAGCAUUGUUGGAGAAAUUCAGAACCGUUCAGCUCAUCUUUUAGCAGUUAAGUAUUGUGUGAUUAUUACACUUUCUAGUUCCUGUUUCUUUUUUCACCUCAAAAUUAUGUACUGCUAG
This is a non-coding RNA of Arachis ipaensis, 798 nucleotides long. The record is from RefSeq and is a predicted model, not a curated record. Lineage: Eukaryota; Viridiplantae; Streptophyta; Magnoliopsida; Fabales; Fabaceae.